GCCAGUACCCUCAACACCACACAGUCCACCACAAUCUCCUCUAUAAUGUUGUGGUGGUGGUGGUGGUGGUGGUGCAGGCCAGUACCCUCAACACCACACAGUCCACCACAAUCUCCUCUAUAAUGUUGUGGUGGUGGUGGUGGCCAGUACCCUCAACACCACAAAGUCCACCACAAUCUCCUCUAUAAUGUUGUGGUGGUGGUGGUGGUGGUGGUGGCCAGUACCCUCAACACCACACAGUCCACCACAAUUUCCUCUAUAAUGUUGUGGUGAUGGUGGUGGUGGUGGUGCAGGCCAGUACCCUCAACACCACACAGUCCACCACAAUUUCCUCUAUAAUGUUGUGGUGGUGGUGGUGGCCAGUACCCUCAACACCACACAGUCCACCACAAUUUCCUCUAUAAUGUUGUGGUGGUGGUGGUGGUGGUGGUGCAGGCCAGUACCCUCAACACUACACAGUCCACCACAAUUUCCUC
Eriocheir sinensis (Chinese mitten crab) is the source of this 476-nucleotide long non-coding RNA. RefSeq lists it as uncharacterized. The transcript is spliced from 4 exons. The record is from RefSeq and is a predicted model, not a curated record. Lineage: Eukaryota; Metazoa; Arthropoda; Malacostraca; Decapoda; Varunidae.